CUGAACCAGCCAAGUAGCGUGAAGGAUGACUGCCCUAUGGGUUGUAAACUUCUUUUAUGAAGGAAUAAAGUCGGGUAUGCAUACCCGUUUGCAUGUACUUUAUGAAUAAGGAUCGGCUAACUCCGUGCCAGCAGCCGCGGUAAUACGGAGGAUCCGAGCGUUAUCCGGAUUUAUUGGGUUUAAAGGGGGCGUAGAUGGAUGUUUAAGUCAGUUGUGAAAGUUUGCGG
This 227-nucleotide ribosomal RNA is filed under the name uncultured bacterium. RNAcentral's name for it is "partial 16S ribosomal RNA". It matches the Rfam family "Bacterial small subunit ribosomal RNA", at positions 383 to 607 of the family's 1533-position model. The record is from RNAcentral.